This 2901-nucleotide ribosomal RNA is filed under the name Escherichia coli. Its description in RNAcentral is "bacterial LSU rRNA". It matches the Rfam family "Bacterial large subunit ribosomal RNA". Lineage: Bacteria; Pseudomonadati; Pseudomonadota; Gammaproteobacteria; Enterobacterales; Enterobacteriaceae. The record is from RNAcentral.
UUAAGCGACUAAGCGUACACGGUGGAUGCCCUGGCAGUCAGAGGCGAUGAAGGACGUGCUAAUCUGCGAUAAGCGUCGGUAAGGUGAUAUGAACCGUUAUAACCGGCGAUUUCCGAAUGGGGAAACCCAGUGUGUUUCGACACACUAUCAUUAACUGAAUCCAUAGGUUAAUGAGGCGAACCGGGGGAACUGAAACAUCUAAGUACCCCGAGGAAAAGAAAUCAACCGAGAUUCCCCAGUAGCGGCGAGCGAACGGGGAGCAGCCCAGAGCCUGAAUCAGUGUGUGUGUUAGUGGAAGCGUCUGGAAAGGCGCGCGAUACAGGGUGACAGCCCCGUACACAAAAAUGCACAUGCUGUGAGCUCGAUGAGUAGGGCGGGACACGUGGUAUCCUGUCUGAAUAUGGGGGGACCAUCCUCCAAGGCUAAAUACUCCUGACUGACCGAUAGUGAACCAGUACCGUGAGGGAAAGGCGAAAAGAACCCCGGCGAGGGGAGUGAAAAAGAACCUGAAACCGUGUACGUACAAGCAGUGGGAGCACGCUUAGGCGUGUGACUGCGUACCUUUUGUAUAAUGGGUCAGCGACUUAUAUUCUGUAGCAAGGUUAACCGAAUAGGGGAGCCGAAGGGAAACCGAGUCUUAACUGGGCGUUAAGUUGCAGGGUAUAGACCCGAAACCCGGUGAUCUAGCCAUGGGCAGGUUGAAGGUUGGGUAACACUAACUGGAGGACCGAACCGACUAAUGUUGAAAAAUUAGCGGAUGACUUGUGGCUGGGGGUGAAAGGCCAAUCAAACCGGGAGAUAGCUGGUUCUCCCCGAAAGCUAUUUAGGUAGCGCCUCGUGAAUUCAUCUCCGGGGGUAGAGCACUGUUUCGGCAAGGGGGUCAUCCCGACUUACCAACCCGAUGCAAACUGCGAAUACCGGAGAAUGUUAUCACGGGAGACACACGGCGGGUGCUAACGUCCGUCGUGAAGAGGGAAACAACCCAGACCGCCAGCUAAGGUCCCAAAGUCAUGGUUAAGUGGGAAACGAUGUGGGAAGGCCCAGACAGCCAGGAUGUUGGCUUAGAAGCAGCCAUCAUUUAAAGAAAGCGUAAUAGCUCACUGGUCGAGUCGGCCUGCGCGGAAGAUGUAACGGGGCUAAACCAUGCACCGAAGCUGCGGCAGCGACGCUUAUGCGUUGUUGGGUAGGGGAGCGUUCUGUAAGCCUGCGAAGGUGUGCUGUGAGGCAUGCUGGAGGUAUCAGAAGUGCGAAUGCUGACAUAAGUAACGAUAAAGCGGGUGAAAAGCCCGCUCGCCGGAAGACCAAGGGUUCCUGUCCAACGUUAAUCGGGGCAGGGUGAGUCGACCCCUAAGGCGAGGCCGAAAGGCGUAGUCGAUGGGAAACAGGUUAAUAUUCCUGUACUUGGUGUUACUGCGAAGGGGGGACGGAGAAGGCUAUGUUGGCCGGGCGACGGUUGUCCCGGUUUAAGCGUGUAGGCUGGUUUUCCAGGCAAAUCCGGAAAAUCAAGGCUGAGGCGUGAUGACGAGGCACUACGGUGCUGAAGCAACAAAUGCCCUGCUUCCAGGAAAAGCCUCUAAGCAUCAGGUAACAUCAAAUCGUACCCCAAACCGACACAGGUGGUCAGGUAGAGAAUACCAAGGCGCUUGAGAGAACUCGGGUGAAGGAACUAGGCAAAAUGGUGCCGUAACUUCGGGAGAAGGCACGCUGAUAUGUAGGUGAGGUCCCUCGCGGAUGGAGCUGAAAUCAGUCGAAGAUACCAGCUGGCUGCAACUGUUUAUUAAAAACACAGCACUGUGCAAACACGAAAGUGGACGUAUACGGUGUGACGCCUGCCCGGUGCCGGAAGGUUAAUUGAUGGGGUUAGCGCAAGCGAAGCUCUUGAUCGAAGCCCCGGUAAACGGCGGCCGUAACUAUAACGGUCCUAAGGUAGCGAAAUUCCUUGUCGGGUAAGUUCCGACCUGCACGAAUGGCGUAAUGAUGGCCAGGCUGUCUCCACCCGAGACUCAGUGAAAUUGAACUCGCUGUGAAGAUGCAGUGUACCCGCGGCAAGACGGAAAGACCCCGUGAACCUUUACUAUAGCUUGACACUGAACAUUGAGCCUUGAUGUGUAGGAUAGGUGGGAGGCUUUGAAGUGUGGACGCCAGUCUGCAUGGAGCCGACCUUGAAAUACCACCCUUUAAUGUUUGAUGUUCUAACGUUGACCCGUAAUCCGGGUUGCGGACAGUGUCUGGUGGGUAGUUUGACUGGGGCGGUCUCCUCCUAAAGAGUAACGGAGGAGCACGAAGGUUGGCUAAUCCUGGUCGGACAUCAGGAGGUUAGUGCAAUGGCAUAAGCCAGCUUGACUGCGAGCGUGACGGCGCGAGCAGGUGCGAAAGCAGGUCAUAGUGAUCCGGUGGUUCUGAAUGGAAGGGCCAUCGCUCAACGGAUAAAAGGUACUCCGGGGAUAACAGGCUGAUACCGCCCAAGAGUUCAUAUCGACGGCGGUGUUUGGCACCUCGAUGUCGGCUCAUCACAUCCUGGGGCUGAAGUAGGUCCCAAGGGUAUGGCUGUUCGCCAUUUAAAGUGGUACGCGAGCUGGGUUUAGAACGUCGUGAGACAGUUCGGUCCCUAUCUGCCGUGGGCGCUGGAGAACUGAGGGGGGCUGCUCCUAGUACGAGAGGACCGGAGUGGACGCAUCACUGGUGUUCGGGUUGUCAUGCCAAUGGCACUGCCCGGUAGCUAAAUGCGGAAGAGAUAAGUGCUGAAAGCAUCUAAGCACGAAACUUGCCCCGAGAUGAGUUCUCCCUGACUCCUUGAGAGUCCUGAAGGAACGUUGAAGACGACGACGUUGAUAGGCCGGGUGUGUAAGCGCAGCGAUGCGUUGAGCUAACCGGUACUAAUGAACCGUGAGGCUUAACCUU